AACGAACGCUGGCGGCGUGCUUAAUACAUGCAAGUCGAACGUGAAAGAAGGGGUAACUCUUCUGGAAAGUGGCGAACGGGUGAGUAAUACGUAAGCAACCUACCCCUAUGUUUGGGAUAACCCUGCCAACGCGGGGCUAAUACCGGAUGUGGUCAUGGAAACGCAUGUUUUUAUGACUAAAGGUGUAAAUCGCAUGGGGAUGGGCUUACGGCCCAUUAGCUUGUUGGUGAGGUAACGGCUCACCAAGGCUACGAUGGGUAGCCGGCCUGAGAGGGUGGACGGCCACAUUGGGACUGAGAUACGGCCCAGACUCCUACGGGAGGCUG
This 326-nucleotide ribosomal RNA is filed under the name uncultured Fibrobacterota bacterium. Its description in RNAcentral is "bacterial SSU rRNA". It matches the Rfam family "Bacterial small subunit ribosomal RNA", at positions 29 to 351 of the family's 1533-position model. Lineage: Bacteria; Pseudomonadati; Fibrobacterota. The record is from RNAcentral.